AACGAACGCUGGCGGCAUGCCUAACACAUGCGAGUCGAACGAGACCUUCGGGUCUAGUGGCGCACGGGUGCGUAACGCGUGGGAACCUGCCCUUAGGUUCGGAAUAACUCCCCGAAAGGGGUGCUAAUACCGGAUAAUAUCUUCGGACCAAAGAUUUAUCGCCUUUGGAUGGGCCCGCGUUGGAUUAGCUAGUUGGUAGGGUAAAAGCCUACCAAGGUGACGAUCCAUAGCUGGUCUGAGAGGAUGAUCAGCCACACUGGGACUGAGACACGGCCCAGACUCCUACGGGAGGCAGCAGUGGGGAAUAUUGGACAAUGGGCGAAAGCCUGAUCCAGCAAUGCCGCGUGAGUGAUGAAGGCCUUAGGGUUGUAAAGCUCUUUUACCCGGGAUGAUAAUGACAGUACCGGGAGAAUAAGCUCCGGCUAACUCCGUG
RNAcentral lists this ribosomal RNA (433 nucleotides) under uncultured bacterium. Its description in RNAcentral is "partial 16S ribosomal RNA". It matches the Rfam family "Bacterial small subunit ribosomal RNA", at positions 29 to 507 of the family's 1533-position model. The record is from RNAcentral.